Molecule: long non-coding RNA, 1331 nt
Filed under: Equus caballus (horse)
Lineage: Eukaryota; Metazoa; Chordata; Mammalia; Perissodactyla; Equidae
Description: lncRNA (ENSECAG00000052656.1)
Source: RNAcentral
GAAGUGAGAGCCAACGGCUUAGGAAUGGGGCGCCAAGGAUAUCUGCUACAUGAAGACAAUGACUCUCACCUCCAAAGUUGAUAUAAAGAGAUCGGAGGACACCAUUGGGACUCAUUUGAGUCUGACUUUCACAUUAAUUUUGCUGUGCUGUGAAGAGUGAAGACAAAAUCAAUGUCCAUCAGUAAUUAUUCAAGGAGGAAAAGGUUCUGAAGAAAAGAAGUAAUUGCUGCAGCCACAAGUCUACAGUUACAAGUGAUUGAAGAUGGUGGCUGGGUCAGAGAAUGCUAAUCAUCCGUGAAGUGGGCUCGCCAUGACUCUGACACCGUGUCUCCUGGUGCACCCUGUGGUAGGUGCAUCUUUGCUGAAUAAAUACAAAGUGAACUUGACGGGAAAGGAGACCUCAGCAGUCCUACAAAGGCAAUUUUGCAAGCUGUCUGGCUGUGGAAUUAGUGGGAUGUUUGCUCAGGAAGAAACAGCUGACGUCAACUUUGCUCUCUUUGUAUCUCAAGGGCAGAGUUAGCCAUGCCUCUGGCCUGCGCCGACACCCGCAGAGGGAAGAAUGGCUUCCAGAGGGAAAGGUUAAAGAACAGGUCGGCUGGGCAUCCACACUCCCCGUCCCUCCCGCCCGCUGUGUGUCAUCUUUCUGGCAAGGUGAAUUCAAUGCCCAGUAAUUCCUUCUGACUUUCUAAGAGCUAUGGGACACCCAAGUGUGAGAAAAGUCAUCUCGGCACUAACAGGAUUAGCUCAGCCUCCUAACCUGAUCACUCUGGCCAGAGAGAAUAAAGAGGAAGGCAAUGGACAGGGGCAAGAAACUUAAGGAUGAAUGAGAUGUUUCCUUUAAAUACCAAGGAGAGCGUGUGUGUGUGUGUGUGUGUGUGUGUGUAUGUGUGUGUUUUGUCUAACUCACAAAGGCUGACCUCUUUUCCAUUUAAGGGGGCCAGUUAAACAUGAAAUGGGAACACGUCUUGUUUCUAUCUCCCCUAUCAGCAAUCCCAGUGCCUAGCACAAAAGGUGCUCUAAAUGCUUUGUUGAAUUAUUAAAUCAAGGCCAUUCUGAUAUUAACUUAAUAAGAGAAGCAGCAAUUAACUAACAGAAGCAGAGUGGUGUGGCAGAAUGAAGACGAGACUUGUGAACAGACACUCGGUUUGACUUUUAUUUCUAGCAUCCCAUACUGGAGGGACUUGAGGAAAUCACGUGAUCUCUCAGGAACAUUAUUGCCAUCCGGGUAAAACAAAGAGAUUGGACUAAUUUUUUUCUCUAAUGUCUGUUGGAUACCCACCUAUGAGUAGGGUCUAAUGAGGUAACUUUUAACCGUGUGUGUCUUGUAUAUC